AAUGGCGGUUGGGGCGGAAGGCGGGGGCUGGGCGGGGAGAGGCGCGGUCUCGAGGUGCCCCCCGCGCCCCGCCGCAGCCCGGGUGCGGCGUCGCUUCCCGAGCCCUCCCCUCCCGCGGUGCCGGCCGGCAGGGCGGGGGGAGCCCCUCUGGGAGAAGGGGUGGCCCGUUCGAUGAACAAAGGAGAGAUGGCCCGGGCCAGCGCAGCCACUGCAGAGCAGCAGAAACGUUCCCUAAGAUGGCGGCCGGCGCGGGGGGGCGGGGCGUCCGCUCGCGAAGGCCCUCAGCAGGGAGGGGCGGGGCUUCCGCUGGCGCGGCCCUCGGCGGGGCGGGGCUUCCGCUCGUGAAGGCCCUGGGCGGGGCGGCGGUGCAGGCGCCGACUGGUCCCCAUGGCCGCCACGCCGGAGCCCAAGGAGCCGGGGCAGGAGAAGCCCUUUAAGCUCCUAGGAAUUUUAGAUGUCGAGAACAUUCCCUGUGCACGGGACUCAGUAUUAUAUGGUUCAUUAGGAUCUGUUGUGGCUGGCCUUGGACAUUUUUUGUUAACUAAAUUAGAAGAUCAUGCGAUGUUGGAGUAGGAGGAUUUAUUGUCGUGACUUUAGGAUAUUGCAUAUCUGAUGUUAUGAAGAACUGAUAUAGCAUGGAUGACUAUCAACUCUGUUUUCAUCAGCAAAAAAAGCCAGACCCAAAGUACUGGUUCCAUUUGAUGAGGUUCUACAAGUAAAAUUAAGCUAAGGCUCCAUUGUAGGUAUAAUUAUGCAAAGCUAAGAAUCCAGGAAAGAAUCACCAGAGAAGG
This is an RNA transcript of Eptesicus fuscus (big brown bat), 791 nucleotides long. It is a transcript of the gene named cytochrome c oxidase assembly protein COX20, mitochondrial, with no coding region annotated. The transcript is spliced from 5 exons. The record is from RefSeq and is a predicted model, not a curated record. Lineage: Eukaryota; Metazoa; Chordata; Mammalia; Chiroptera; Vespertilionidae.